GGGUCAGUAGGUUGGUCGUGCCACCGGUACGUACUGGUCUCACUGAUUCCUCCUUCCUGAAGAACCGUAAUGCCAUUAAUUUGGUUGUGCGGGGAAACAGGACUGUUACUUUGAAAAAAUUAGAGUGUUUAAAGCAAGCUAACGCUUGAAUACAUUAGCAUGGAAUAAUGAAAUAGGACGAUCGAUCCUAUUUUGUUGGUUUCUAGGAUUGACGUA
RNAcentral lists this ribosomal RNA (216 nucleotides) under Glomeromycotina sp. RNAcentral's name for it is "partial small subunit ribosomal RNA". The stretch from base 40 to 216 matches the Rfam family "Eukaryotic small subunit ribosomal RNA", at positions 686 to 864 of the family's 1831-position model. Lineage: Eukaryota; Fungi; Glomeromycota. The record is from RNAcentral.